RNAcentral lists this unclassified non-coding RNA (391 nucleotides) under uncultured Archaeospora. RNAcentral describes it as "SSU rRNA". It matches the Rfam family "Eukaryotic small subunit ribosomal RNA", at positions 569 to 965 of the family's 1831-position model. The record is from RNAcentral. Lineage: Eukaryota; Fungi; Glomeromycota; Glomeromycetes; Archaeosporales; Archaeosporaceae.
AGCAGCCGCGGUAAUUCCAGCUCCAAUAGCGUAUAUUAAAGUUGUUGCAGUUAAAAAGCUCGUAGUUGAAUUUCGAGACCGGCUUACUGGUCGUGCUAUUGUACGUACUGGUAUAAUCGGUUUCUCCUUUCUGACGAACUAUAAUGCCAUUAAUUUGGUGUUUUAGGGAAUCAGGACUGUUACUUUGAAAAAAUUAGAGUGUUUAAAGCAGGCUCACGCUUGAAUACAUUAGCAUGGAAUAACGGAAUAGGACGUUUGAUUCUAUUUUGUUGGUUUCUAGGAUCGACGUAAUGAUUAAUAGGGAUAGUUGGGGGCAUUAGUAUUCAAUUGUCAGAGGUGAAAUCCUUGGAUUUAUUGAAGACUAACUACUGCGAAAGCAUUUGCCAAGGAU